UGUUGUUUCUUAUUACACGUAUCUGGGAGUGUAGUUACUUACUUUGAACGCGUCGCCAGCAGCCAUUUUUGAUGAUUUAAUGUGUCAUUCACUCCGAGCCGACGUGGGGUCUCUGUUCUCGUGUCAGCACUUUCGACGUGAGUUCAGCGUCGAGCUCUGAUUGGAUAAUAUUAUGUGGCGUUUUUGUGACGCAUGACGUAAGGUCACGUGUGGUAUUUUUCCUCCUGAUACUUUGGUUGAUUGAUUGAUUGAAACUUUUAUUAGUAGAUUGCACAGUUCAGUAAACAUUCCGUACAAUUGACCACUAAAUGGUAAGACCCGAAUUAAGUUUUUCAACUUGUUUAAGUCGGGGUCCACGUAAAUCAAUACAUGGUAAACUUCAACAAUUCGCUCGUUGCAGAGAUACAAACCUAAACGAGGAAAGAAGUGAAAAGAAAUAAAACGAAGGAAAGAAAAUAAUUCAAAACAAGGAACAUCAAUCCUCAACAAGAGCUGGAGGUUCUUUUUCUUCACACUGUUAACUAGCUGCGUACGCUGGAAACGUGGAGCAAGGACAGAAUAAUGAUCGUGUUGACAGUGCACUGUGUAAGGCGAUGGCACGGAAGGACAACAUUGCUUCGGGAGCACCUGAAGAGGAGCCAUGGAUGAAGGGAAUAACUCACGAAAGAAACAAGCGAGCAUUAGCGACUUGGUACAAAGGAAGGUGUGCACAUCACAGCAAGCGGCUGCUUUGACUGAUGCUAUCCUGAAUAUGUUGCUAACUGACAUGAGGCCACUAUCAAUGGUGGAGGAUGAAGGUUUUAGACAAAUGAUUCACGUCCUCAACCCUGGUUACACUCUUCCCUCAAGGACCCAUUUUACCAAACUGAUGGAGGAAGUACGAGCAGACAUUCCAUGCUGUGUAGACUGACAUAAAAGCCACCCAGAGCAAAAUUGCUCUCACUACUGAUGUGUGGACAAGUGUAGCCUACCUUGGCAAUACAUGCCACUACAUUGGAGACGAAUGGAACAUGAAGUCAAUCUGCCUUACGACCAUGCCACCAGAUGUAAGACAUUCAGCAUCCAACAUUUCAGAAUGGUUGCAAUAGGUAAUAGCCAGGUUUGAAAUUCCCUUAAGCAAAAUUAUUGCUAUUGUGCAUGACAAUGGUGCACUUUAUAAAAAAAAAAAAUAACAUUUUUGUAACACUGGCCUUAUUUUAUUUGGCAAGUCGAAAGGACAUGGUGCCAAUAUGCUGUUUUUUUACAUAAAGUAUUGGAAAGGAUAGAAAUGUAUUUUGUCCCUUGUAUCCGAUUAUUAUCCAAUUAAUAAAAGAAAUAAUCAAGAGAUUAACCGAUUCUCAAAUUAAUCGUUAGUCGCAGCCCUAAUUUUUACUGUAAAAUUGUGUUUUUAAUGGUGUAUUACUGUAGAAAAACUGGCAGCUAAGUCGCCAUAAUAAAAAAGGAACUGGUACUGUUUUUCCAUGAACAAUAAAAUGUUGUAAAAACCAAUGUCAAUUUAAUAGCAAUAUUCUGGCAAAUAAGUUACCAACUUUUUUUUGAAAAAACAAAACACAAAAUAGUGGUACUGUUUUUGUAUUUACCAUAAAAUGUUGUAAGAAAAUUUAAAACAAUAAUGAAAUCCAGAGGCACAUUCGUACAUUAUUAACUGUUACAAGCGGCCCUCUGAUGGCAGCCAUAACUGCUAUUCAUAAAUGAAAACCGCUCUGACAUCCCUGACGUAGUUGACUAGCCCUGGAUUACUGAAAUGACGUUAUCAAGAUAACUUUUAAAAUUUACUGAAAUUAAAUUAAAUGUUGAUAUUGUGCCAGAAGAGUGAGUCCAUUAUUGUUCUUUUGCUGUUGUUAGAUUGUAAUAGUACAUAUCAGCUUUAUUGUGAUUAUAUUCAGCGAUAUCAUCACAGAGUAUUCCAUUAUUAUUUCCCUGGCGGUGACAAUCGGUACUUAGCAUGAUUAUCCUCAUUAAAGGCCGACUGAAACCAACUACUACCGACCACGCAGUCUGAUAGUUUAUAUAUCAAUGAUGAAAUAUUAACAAUGAUGAAAUAUUAACAUUGCAACA
Molecule: long non-coding RNA, 2058 nt
Organism: Nerophis ophidion (straightnose pipefish)
Lineage: Eukaryota; Metazoa; Chordata; Actinopteri; Syngnathiformes; Syngnathidae
Exons: 3
Source: RefSeq, a predicted model, not a curated record